CCACCCUUAUAUCUCCUAGCUUUAUUUCCGUGAUACCCAUAAGUUUCCAUAGUGCGUUAUCUGUCAACCUUAUAAAUUCGUUCCAAAGAGACCAGCUGAAUUCGCAAUUGAAGAAUAAAUGAGCUGUCGUUUCCUCAACUGUAUCACAUAGGACACACUUUGCUGGAACCACUAUCCCCCACGACCUCAAUUUAUCGAAUGUUCUUAGCUUGCCCCAUCUUAGUCUCCAUAGAC
Molecule: long non-coding RNA, 234 nt
Filed under: Zostera marina
Lineage: Eukaryota; Viridiplantae; Streptophyta; Magnoliopsida; Alismatales; Zosteraceae
Description: long non-coding RNA (ZMAR_LNC000143)
Source: RNAcentral